UGUACACGCUGUGACUAGCAUAUCAAUAAGCGGAGGAAAAGAAACUAACAAGGAUUCCCCUAGUAACGGCGAGUGAAGCGGGAAGAGCUCAAAUUUGAAAUCUUAAAGGGUUUCCCUUUACGAAUUGUAGUUUAAAGAAGUGUUUUCUGUUGAGGUUUUGGUAAAAGUUCCUUGGAUAUAGGACAUCAUAGAGGGUGAGAAUCCCGUAUUUGACCUUUACUUUCAACUUUGUGAUACACUUUCAAAGAGUCGGAUUGUUUGGGAAUGCAGUCCAAAGUGGGUGGUAAAUUUCAUCUAAAGCUAAAUAUUGGCGAGAGACCGAUAGCGAACAAGUACCGUGAGGGAAAGAUGAAAAGAACUUUGAAAAGAGAGUUAAACAGUACGUGAAAUUGUCAAAAGGGAAGCGUUUGACACCAGUGUUGUUUUUCUGAAAAUCAAUUAAAGAACUGUUUAUGCUAAGCUGUUUAGACUUUAUCAGCUAUCUGUUUAGUUUUGAGCUUUUCUUUAAUGCACUUUUCAGUUAACAAGUCAACAUCAAUUUCUUUUGCUGUAAAAAAGCUUGAGGAAGGUGGCUUGAGAUUCGUCUUAAGUGUUUAUAGCCUCUUGCCUAUGCAGUCGGAGAGAUUGAGGUCUGCAGCGUAGAUCCUUCGGGGCUAAAUGCAUUUGUGCUAAGUUAUAGCAUUUCAUAGACAACUUGUUGACUAUGAUUUGUCUUGUAGCUUACUCGCUUAUGUUAUUUUACCUACGCUUAGGAUGUUGACAGCAGUAUAGACUGU
This 776-nucleotide ribosomal RNA is filed under the name uncultured Neocallimastigales. Its description in RNAcentral is "partial large subunit ribosomal RNA". It matches the Rfam family "Eukaryotic large subunit ribosomal RNA", at positions 22 to 634 of the family's 3401-position model. The record is from RNAcentral. Lineage: Eukaryota; Fungi; Neocallimastigomycota; Neocallimastigomycetes; Neocallimastigales.